Molecule: ribosomal RNA, 585 nt
Filed under: Fusarium foetens
Lineage: Eukaryota; Fungi; Ascomycota; Sordariomycetes; Hypocreales; Nectriaceae
Description: partial large subunit ribosomal RNA
Source: RNAcentral
CAUAUCAAUAAGCGGAGGAAAAGAAACCAACAGGGAUUGCCCUAGUAACGGCGAGUGAAGCGGCAACAGCUCAAAUUUGAAAUCUGGCUCUCGGGCCCGAGUUGUAAUUUGUAGAGGAUACUUUUGAUGCGGUGCCUUCCGAGUUCCCUGGAACGGGACGCCAUAGAGGGUGAGAGCCCCGUCUGGUUGGAUGCCAAAUCUCUGUAAAGUUCCUUCAACGAGUCGAGUAGUUUGGGAAUGCUGCUCUAAAUGGGAGGUAUAUGUCUUCUAAAGCUAAAUACCGGCCAGAGACCGAUAGCGCACAAGUAGAGUGAUCGAAAGAUGAAAAGCACUUUGAAAAGAGAGUUAAAAAGUACGUGAAAUUGUUGAAAGGGAAGCGUUUAUGACCAGACUUGGGCUUGGUUAAUCAUCUGGGGUUCUCCCCAGUGCACUUUUCCAGUCCAGGCCAGCAUCAGUUUUCCCCGGGGGAUAAAGGCGGCGGGAAUGUGGCUCUCUUCGGGGAGUGUUAUAGCCCACCGUGUAAUACCCUGGGGGGGACUGAGGUUCGCGCAUCUGCAAGGAUGCUGRCGUAAUGGUCAUCAACGA